AAGUUCCGACCCGCACGAAAGGCGUAACGAUUUGGGCACUGUCUCAACAACAGACUCGGUGAAAUUGUAAUUCCGGUGAAGAUGCCGGAUACCUGCGACAGGACGGAAAGACCCCAUGGAGCUUUACUGUAGCUUGACAUUGGGUCUUGGUACUACAUGUACAGGAUAGGUGGGAGGCUUUGAAACCAGGACGCCAGUUUUGGCGGAGCCAUCCUUGGGAUACCCCCCUUGUAGUACUGGGACUCUAACCAUAGGCCAUGAAUCUGGUCUUGGGACACUGUCAGGUGGGCAGUU
RNAcentral lists this ribosomal RNA (294 nucleotides) under Clostridioides difficile. RNAcentral's name for it is "partial 23S ribosomal RNA". It matches the Rfam family "Bacterial large subunit ribosomal RNA", at positions 1978 to 2270 of the family's 2925-position model. Lineage: Bacteria; Bacillati; Bacillota; Clostridia; Peptostreptococcales; Peptostreptococcaceae. The record is from RNAcentral.